RNAcentral lists this ribosomal RNA (269 nucleotides) under uncultured bacterium. RNAcentral describes it as "partial 16S ribosomal RNA". It matches the Rfam family "Bacterial small subunit ribosomal RNA", at positions 524 to 789 of the family's 1533-position model. The record is from RNAcentral.
GACGGGGGGUCCUAGCGUUGUUCGGAAUCAUUGGGCGUAAAGCGUGUGCAGGUGGUUUGGUAAGUUGGAUGUGAAAGCCUUGGGCUUAACCCAAGAAGUGCAUUCAAAACUACCAAACUUGAGUAAGGAAGAGGGUCGUGGAAUUCCAGGUGUAGUGGUGAAAUACGUAGAUAUCUGGAGGAACACCGGUGGCGAAGGCGGCGACCUGGUCCUAUACUGACACUCAUACACGAAAGCGUGGGGAUCAAACAGGAGUUAAGAAACCCCUG